GGUUAAGCGACUAAGCGUACACGGUGGAUGCCCUGGCAGUCAGAGGCGAUGAAGGACGUGCUAAUCUGCGAAAAGCGCCGGCGAGGUGAUAUGAACCUUUGACCCGGCGAUGUCCGAAUGGGGAAACCCAGUGCAAUCCGUUGCACUAUCGUUAACUGAAUACAUAGGUUAACGAGGCGAACCGGGGGAACUGAAACAUCUAAGUACCCCGAGGAAAAGAAAUCAACCGAGAUUCCCCCAGUAGCGGCGAGCGAACGGGGAGCAGCCCGGAGUCUGAAUCAGCUUGUGUGUUAGUGGAACGGUCUGGAAAGUCCGACGGUACAGGGUGAUAGUCCCGUACACGAAAGCACACUUGCUGUGAACUCGAAGAGUAGGGCGGGACACGUGGUAUCCUGUCUGAAUAUGGGGGGACCAUCCUCCAAGGCUAAAUACUCCUGACUGACCGAUAGUGAACCAGUACCGUGAGGGAAAGGCGAAAAGAACCCCGGCGAGGGGAGUGAAAAAGAACCUGAAACCGUGUACGUACAAGCAGUGGGAGCCUCUUUAUGGGGUGACUGCGUACCUUUUGUAUAAUGGGUCAGCGACUUAUAUUCUGUAGCAAGGUUAACCGUAUAGGGGAGCCGAAGGGAAACCGAGUCUUAACUGGGCGUUAAGUUGCAGGGUAUAGACCCGAAACCCGGUGAUCUAGCCAUGGGCAGGUUGAAGGUUGGGUAACACUAACUGGAGGACCGAACCGACUAAUGUUGAAAAAUUAGCGGAUGACCUGUGGCUGGGGGUGAAAGGCCAAUCAAACCGGGAGAUAGCUGGUUCUCCCCGAAAGCUAUUUAGGUAGCGCCUCGUGAACUCAUCUUCGGGGGUAGAGCACUGUUUCGGCUAGGGGGCCAUCCCGGCUUACCAACCCGAUGCAAACUACGAAUACCGAAGAAUGUUAUCACGGGAGACACACGGCGGGUGCUAACGUCCGUCGUGAAGAGGGAAACAACCCAGACCGCCAGCUAAGGUCCCAAAGUCAUGGUUAAGUGGGAAACGAUGUGGGAAGGCACAGACAGCCAGGAUGUUGGCUUAGAAGCAGCCAUCAUUUAAAGAAAGCGUAAUAGCUCACUGGUCGAGUCGGCCUGCGCGGAAGAUGUAACGGGGCUAAACCAUGCACCGAAGCUGCGGCAGCGACGCUUAGGCGUUGUUGGGUAGGGGAGCGUUCUGUAAGCCGUUGAAGGUGUCCUGUGAGGGGUGCUGGAGGUAUCAGAAGUGCGAAUGCUGACAUAAGUAACGAUAAAGCGGGUGAAAAGCCCGCUCGCCGGAAGACCAAGGGUUCCUGUCCAACGUUAAUCGGGGCAGGGUGAGUCGACCCCUAAGGCGAGGCCGAAAGGCGUAGUCGAUGGGAAACAGGUUAAUAUUCCUGUACUUGGUGUUACUGCGAAGGGGGGACGGAGAAGGCUAUGUCAGCCGGGCGACGGUUGUCCCGGUUUAAGCAUGUAGGCGGAGGUUCCAGGUAAAUCCGGUACCUUGUUAACGCUGAGGUGUGAUGACGAGGCACUACGGUGCUGAAGUGAUAAAUGCCCUGCUUCCAGGAAAAGCCUCUAAGCAUCAGGUAACACGAAAUCGUACCCCAAACCGACACAGGUGGUCAGGUAGAGAAUACCAAGGCGCUUGAGAGAACUCGGGUGAAGGAACUAGGCAAAAUGGUGCCGUAACUUCGGGAGAAGGCACGCUGAUAUGUAGGUGAAGCCCCUGCGGGCGGAGCUGAAAUCAGUCGAAGAUACCAGCUGGCUGCAACUGUUUAUUAAAAACACAGCACUGUGCAAACACGAAAGUGGACGUAUACGGUGUGACGCCUGCCCGGUGCCGGAAGGUUAAUUGAUGGGGUUAGCGGCAACGCGAAGCUCUUGAUCGAAGCCCCGGUAAACGGCGGCCGUAACUAUAACGGUCCUAAGGUAGCGAAAUUCCUUGUCGGGUAAGUUCCGACCUGCACGAAUGGCGUAAUGAUGGCCAGGCUGUCUCCACCCGAGACUCAGUGAAAUUGAACUCGCUGUGAAGAUGCAGUGUACCCGCGGCAAGACGGAAAGACCCCGUGAACCUUUACUAUAGCUUGACACUGAACACUGGUCCUUGAUGUGUAGGAUAGGUGGGAGGCUUUGAAGCGUGGACGCCAGUCUGCGUGGAGCCAACCUUGAAAUACCACCCUUUAAUGGCUGGUGUUCUAACGUAGACCCGUAAUCCGGGUUGCGGACAGUGUCUGGUGGGUAGUUUGACUGGGGCGGUCUCCUCCCAAAGAGUAACGGAGGAGCACGAAGGUUGGCUAAUCCUGGUCGGACAUCAGGAGGUUAGUGCAAUGGCAUAAGCCAGCUUGACUGCGAGCGUGACGGCGCGAGCAGGUGCGAAAGCAGGUCAUAGUGAUCCGGUGGUUCUGAAUGGAAGGGCCAUCGCUCAACGGAUAAAAGGUACUCCGGGGAUAACAGGCUGAUACCGCCCAAGAGUUCAUAUCGACGGCGGUGUUUGGCACCUCGAUGUCGGCUCAUCACAUCCUGGGGCUGAAGUAGGUCCCAAGGGUAUGGCUGUUCGCCAUUUAAAGUGGUACGCGAGCUGGGUUUAGAACGUCGUGAGACAGUUCGGUCCCUAUCUGCCGUGGGCGCUGGAGAAUUGAGGGGGGCUGCUCCUAGUACGAGAGGACCGGAGUGGACGCAUCACUGGUGUUCGGGUUGUCAUGCCAAUGGCACUGCCCGGUAGCUAAAUGCGGAAGAGAUAAGUGCUGAAAGCAUCUAAGCACGAAACUUGCCCCGAGAUGAGUUCUCCCUGAGACUUUAAGUCUCCUGAAGGAACGUUGAAGACGACGACGUUGAUAGGUCGGGUGUGUAAGCGCAGCGAUGCGUUGAGCUAACCGAUACUAAUGAACCGUGAGGCUUAACCUU
Molecule: ribosomal RNA, 2906 nt
Filed under: Enterobacter hormaechei
Lineage: Bacteria; Pseudomonadati; Pseudomonadota; Gammaproteobacteria; Enterobacterales; Enterobacteriaceae
Description: 23S ribosomal RNA
Rfam family: Bacterial large subunit ribosomal RNA
Source: RNAcentral